UACGAAGGGGGCUAGCGUUGCUCGGAAUCACUGGGCGUAAAGCGCACGUAGGCGGAUUGCUAAGUCAGGGGUGAAAUCCUGGAGCUCAACUCCAGAACUGCCUUUGAUACUGGCGAUCUUGAGUCCGGGAGAGGUGAGUGGAACUCCGAGUGUAGAGGUGAAAUUCGUAGAUAUUCGGAAGAACACCAGUGGCGAAGGCGGCUCACUGGCCCGGUACUGACGCUGAGGCACGAAAGCGUGGGGAGCAAACAGG
This 253-nucleotide ribosomal RNA is filed under the name uncultured bacterium. RNAcentral's name for it is "partial 16S ribosomal RNA". It matches the Rfam family "Bacterial small subunit ribosomal RNA", at positions 524 to 776 of the family's 1533-position model. The record is from RNAcentral.